This 1524-nucleotide ribosomal RNA is filed under the name Triticum aestivum (bread wheat). RNAcentral describes it as "partial small subunit ribosomal RNA". Lineage: Eukaryota; Viridiplantae; Streptophyta; Magnoliopsida; Poales; Poaceae. The record is from RNAcentral.
AUGGAAGCGUGGUUAAGCUUGUGUUUCAUAGCCCUGUCCGCGGUACUAGCCCUUUGGUUUCUCAAGCCCUCCAGCGGCGAGAGCAAGCCAGGCAAGCGGCUGCCACCUGGGCCAUGGACCCUGCCGAUCAUCGGCAGCCUCCACCACGUCGUGAGCGUCCUCCCGCACCAUACAAUGACAGAGCUGUCUCGCCGGUACGGGCCGCUGAUGCUCCUUAAGCUGGGCGAGCUCCCCACGGUGGUGGUUUCCAGCGCCGAGGCAGCUGCGCUGGUGAUGAAGACGCACGACGUCUCGUUCGCGAACCGGAAGAGCAGCGUGACGCUGGACAUCGCCGCCUGUGGCGGCAACGGCAUCGUCUUCGCCCCCUACGGCGACCGGUGGCGCCGGAUGCGCAAGAUCUGCGUCAUGGAGCUUCUCAGCUCCAAGUGCGUGAAGCGCAUGGAGGGCGUCAGGGCGGAGGAGGUGGGCCACCUCCUCCGCUCCAUUGCAGCCUCGAACGGCGCCGUCGUCAACGUCAGCCAGAAGGUGUCGGCGCUCAGCAACUCCGUCGCGUCGCGCGCAUUUUUCGGCGGCAAGUUGGCGCAGCAGGACGUGUACCUGCGGGAGUUCCACCAAGUCAUGGAGCUGAUGGGAGGCUUCUGCCUCGUCGACCUCUUCCCGUCGUCCCGGUUGGUGCGGUGGCUGAGCAACGGCGAACGCCGCAUGAAGAAGAGCUACGGCAGCAUCCGACGCAUCAUCGGGGACAUCAUCGACAGGCGCAAGGCUGAGCGGCUCGCCGGUGGCGCCUGCAGCAUCGAAGACGAGGGCCUGCUGGACGCGCUGCUCAGGAUGCAGGAGGAGGACUCGUUAGCAUCACCGCUAACCACAGACGCAAUAGGCACCGUCUUAUUUGACAUACUUGGAGCUGCCACGGAAACCACGGGGCUUGUUUUGGCAUGGACUAUGUCAGAGCUCAUGAAUAGUCCUGAAGCCAUGUCUAAGGCGCAGCUAGAGGUCAGGGGGUUGCUAGGACAAGAUAAAGCUAUCAUUACUAAUACCCACCCCCUCGUUGAACUCCACUAUAUGCAGAUGGUCAUCAAGGAGGUUCUUAGAUUGCAUCCGCCAAGUCCUCUUGUGGCCCGUGCAGCUAGAGAAGAUUGUCAAAUUAUGGGCUAUGACAUUCUUAAAGGCACAACUGUAUACGUUAAUGUCUACGCAAUCUCCCGAGACCCUAAAUACUGGGAAAAUCCAGGAAGUUUUAAGCCAGAAAGGUUUGAAACUAAAAACAUGGAUUACAAUGGGACAUACUUCGAAUUCACUCCCUUUGGUGCUGGGCGGCGACAAUGUCCCGGGAUGUUGUUUAGCUCCGCAAUUAUGGAGAUUGUAUUGGCAAACUUUCUUUAUCACUUUGACUGGAAGCUUUCUGAUGGAGCCGGCCCGGCGUCACUGGACAUGUCCGAGAAAUUUGGGUUAACUGUGGGCAGAAAGUUUGACCUACAACUCAAAGCCACUCCACAAGUCUGGUCUAAUAAUAUGGAGAUCUAG